CUUUACUGUAACUUGGCAGUGAGUUUCGGGUUGUUCUGCGUAGGAUAGGUGGGAGGCUUUGAGACCGGGCUUCUGGGCUCGGUGGAGCCAACCUUGAAAUACCACCCUGAACAAUCUGGGAUUCUAACCUAGGCCCGUGAUCCGGGCUGGGGACACUGCCUGGUGGGCAGUUUGACUGGGGCGGUCGCCUCCUAAAAAGUAACGGAGGCGCACGAAGGUCACCUCAGGCUGAUUGGAAACCAGCCGUAGAGUGUAAAGGCAUAAGGUGGCUUGACUGCGAGACCGACAGGUCGAGCAGGUGCGAAAGCAGGUCUUAGUGAUCCGGUGGUCCCGUAUGGAAGGGCCAUCGCUCAUCGGAUAAAAGGUA
Molecule: ribosomal RNA, 367 nt
Filed under: uncultured organism
Description: bacterial LSU rRNA
Rfam family: Bacterial large subunit ribosomal RNA
Source: RNAcentral